This 253-nucleotide ribosomal RNA is filed under the name uncultured bacterium. RNAcentral's name for it is "partial 16S ribosomal RNA". It matches the Rfam family "Bacterial small subunit ribosomal RNA", at positions 524 to 776 of the family's 1533-position model. The record is from RNAcentral.
UACGUAGGGUGCAAGCGUUGUCCGGAAUUAUUGGGCGUAAAGAGCUUGUAGGCGGUUUGUCGCGUCUGCUGUGAAAUUUCGGGGCUCAACCCCGAACUUGCAGUGGGUACGGGCAGGCUAGAGUGUGGUAGGGGAGACUGGAAUUCCUGGUGUAGCGGUGAAAUGCGCAGAUAUCAGGAGGAACACCGAUGGCGAAGGCAGGUCUCUGGGCCACUACUGACGCUGAGACGCGAAAGCGUGGGGAGCGAACAGG